GACGAACGCUGGCGGCGUGCCUAACACAUGCAAGUCGAACGGAGAUAUGAUUUCGGUUGUAUCUUAGUGGCGAACGGGUGAGUAACGCGUGAGCAACCUGACUCUUAGAGGGGGAUAACACCCGGAAACGAGCGCUAAUACCGCAUAAGACCACGACAUGGCAUCAUGACGAGGUCAAAGGAGCAAUCCGCUGAGAGAGGGGCUCGCGUCCCAUUAGAUAGAUGGCGGGGUAAUGGCCCACCAUGUCAGCGAUGGGUAGCCGAGCUGAGAGGCUGAUCGGCCACACUGGAACUGAGACACGGUCCAGACUCCUACGGGAGGCAGCAGUGGGGAAUAUUGGGCAAUGGGCGCAAGCCUGACCCAGCAACGCCGCGUGAGGGAAGAAGGCUUUCGGGUUGUAAACCUCUGUCCUUGGUGACGAAAAAAAUGACGGUAGCCAAGGAGGAAGCCCCAGCUAACUACGUG
Molecule: ribosomal RNA, 465 nt
Filed under: uncultured bacterium
Lineage: Bacteria
Description: bacterial SSU rRNA
Rfam family: Bacterial small subunit ribosomal RNA
Source: RNAcentral